UUUAUUGUAGCAACACUGAUUACUGAUUACAUGUACUGCCUUUCUCGUAUCGACCAAUUUGAUGACGUAUCGUCCCGGCUUGCCGAGAGGGCUGCAUAAUAUUGUGUUUAGAUUCACCUCUGUUUUUACUGCGUUAGGCGUGAUGUGUUUUGAUCCACUUCUGUUUUACUGCGUUAAGUGUGAUGUGUUUUGAUUCACUCCUGAUUUACUGUGUUAAGAGUUAAGUGUGUUGCAAUUUUAUCUGUUUUCGGAAUUUGGAUUGUGCAUCUUCCCAUAAUAUACAACAACGAUUAGCAUCAACACUGUGGGCUUAUUAUCGUCUGAAGGAGUCCAGAUUGGAGUCACAUUCCACAACGCGUGUCAAAACAAUAACGCGGGAAUCGAACUUAAAUAUAUAGGGUGAUAGUCUUUAUCCCCACAACCAUCAGCAUCUCUUUCUCCCUAUACUAACAAUCUGGGUAUUUGCAAACAACCGUUUCUGAUCAUACUGAGUUUUGAUCAUCCGGCCCAGUAACCAAGUCUGUUAUCCGCAUCCGGCCCACUCAGGAAAGUAAUUGCCUACACCUGCAUUAGACGAUGCGUACAAUAGAUGGUUUUGAGGAACAAUGGGAGAUGAACGAAAAUUUCAAGAAAACCGUGGAUGAGUAAUUAGGUAUCCUCUCGAUGGGUUAUUGAAUGAAUACGGAAACCUGCUUUAUAUAAUAACUUUUACAUUUCGACGAACAAAAAAUACUUGUAAACCAUAAUUGAAAUAAAUUAUUGAUUUAAUUAUACAUUUGAAAAACAGU
Molecule: non-coding RNA, 788 nt
Organism: Styela clava
Lineage: Eukaryota; Metazoa; Chordata; Ascidiacea; Stolidobranchia; Styelidae
Source: RefSeq, a predicted model, not a curated record